This 253-nucleotide ribosomal RNA is filed under the name uncultured bacterium. RNAcentral describes it as "partial 16S ribosomal RNA". It matches the Rfam family "Bacterial small subunit ribosomal RNA", at positions 524 to 776 of the family's 1533-position model. The record is from RNAcentral.
UACGUAGGGUGCAAGCGUUAAUCGGAAUUACUGGGCGUAAAGCGUGCGCAGGCGGUUAUUCAAGUCAGAUGUGAAAUCCCCGGGCUCAACCUGGGAACUGCAUUUGUGACUGCAUGGCUGGAGUGCGGCAGAGGGGGAUGGAAUUCCGCGUGUAGCAGUGAAAUGCGUAGAUAUGCGGAGGAACACCGAUGGCGAAGGCAAUCCCCUGGGCCUGCACUGACGCUCAUGCACGAAAGCGUGGGGAGCAAACAGG